RNAcentral lists this non-coding RNA (409 nucleotides) under Saccharomyces cerevisiae YJM1399. Lineage: Eukaryota; Fungi; Ascomycota; Saccharomycetes; Saccharomycetales; Saccharomycetaceae. The record is from RNAcentral.
AGAUAUUUAUAUUAUUAAUAGGAAAGUCAUAAAUAUAUAAAUUAUAUUAUAUAAUUUAUAUAAUAAUAAAUAAAUAAAUAAAUUAAUUAUUUAAUUAUAUAUUUUUUAUAUAUAAUAUAAAUAUAUUAAAUAAAAAUCAUAAAUUAUAAUAAAUAAUCUAAAUAAUAAAAAUAUCCCCCCGUGGGACCAACCAACCCUGUGAACAGCAGGGUUGUAAUGCGCCCGCGGGGGUUAUAUAAAUUAAUAUAAUAUUAAUAAAGUAAUUAAUAUAAAUAAAUAAUAUGAAAAUAAAACUUAAUAAAUAUAUAUAUAAUUCAUAUAUAUAUAUUAAUAAAAAUAAUAUAUAUAUAUAUAUAUGAAAUAGUUAUAUUAUUAUACAGAAAUAUGCUUAAUUAUAAUAUAAUAUCAA